GCAACGCGUAAACAAAUGGCGGCGGCCCGGCCGGAGCGGGGACGGCGCCCGUAGCGGACAACACACAAAGUUUGCUCCGUCUCUUUCAUUAUCGCAGCUCAUGGCGGGCGGCCAGCAGAGCGGCACAGGAGGCAGCCCCGGGGAGCCGCUUCCCCGUGCUGACGAGCCGCAGCCCCUCGCUGAGGGGUUCCCCGAGGAGCAGCCCCGGCCGCCGCACCGCGAGGAUGAGCAGGAGGAGGACGGCGGGGAGGAAGAGCCGGAGCGCGCAGAGGCUCACUUGGAGGGGGUGUUGGAUGAAGACACCACUGCCGAGGGACUCCACACCUUCGGCCGCUCGGCCCUUGGCACUGAAUAUGUUUAUCUCCAUCUGUCACUCCCCGGUCGUGGGUUGAGGGACAUCAGCAUUCUCUCUGGCUACAUCCACCUGCAGAAAAUGGAGCUUUCCUCCAAUAAAAUUAAUGGUAUGGAGUAAAUAAACUACAAAUUCCUGCCUUGUGAAGCACUUUCAGAUGAGAAAUGCACUGGACCACGGAAUUUUAGUGUGCCAAAGGCUGGCUGACAUUUUAGUGGUGUCAAACCUCGCCCAAAAUGUUUGAU
RNAcentral lists this long non-coding RNA (597 nucleotides) under Lonchura striata (white-rumped munia). RNAcentral describes it as "domestica (Bengalese finch) lncRNA (ENSLSDG00000002952.1)". Lineage: Eukaryota; Metazoa; Chordata; Aves; Passeriformes; Estrildidae. The record is from RNAcentral.